RNAcentral lists this long non-coding RNA (985 nucleotides) under Cyanistes caeruleus (blue tit). RNAcentral describes it as "lncRNA (ENSCCEG00000022757.1)". The record is from RNAcentral. Lineage: Eukaryota; Metazoa; Chordata; Aves; Passeriformes; Paridae.
GCAAAACUUCAGAUCUGAAAGAACAAAGUAAAUAUAUGGCUGUGGUGAACUCAUGAUCAGGAGUAAUGACUUGAAAUUUACUCACACUGCUGAAUAUCAGUGGAACUUUGUACUACACUCUACAGAACCUCCUGGUAGCAAAGUGUCAGCUGUGUUCUGCGUAUACCUCAGCACCCAACAAACCAGAGCCUUCUUCAUCAUUCUUUGCCACAAUCUAUUUUUACAAGUAUUUUUUAUCCUCCCUGCCCAGAAGAAGGAGGGUCUAAAAUUAGACUCCAAAAUUGCUAGGUGGUCAUCUCUGUGGAUGCUGAAGAGCAAUAAUUUGUUGAUUAUGUGUAUGCUAUCUGACACGAAGUGCAGAGUGCCUCAGGCUGCAGCUUCACCAAACGAAAAUGUGCCAAACAUCAAGAAAAAAGACUACCUGUUAAGGAAGUUUCUGCAAAACAAUUUUAUUUAUGAGCUCUAAUUCUUGUGUCCUCCGUUAUGUUUCAAGAAGAUGUAAUUAUUUUGGUAAUGCAUGUUUAUUUAAGAUCAGGAAGUCCUGAUCUCAAAUCUAUCCUGGAUAUGGUUUAUUAUGGCCACUGGUGAAGGAAUUAAAUGAAUACCACAAUGCAGAUUAGGAUAAUACAGUAGUACCAGUUCAGACGUUGCAUUAAAUUCUACUGGAAAAUUGCUCCGGCGCUCUUUAUAUAUUUUUUUAAGAAAUGCAGACCAAUAGCCCGUAUCUCAAGGAAAAUAUUUUAUUGUAUAUAAUCACGCCUUGCAUAAGGAGCUGCUGUUUCUCUGCAUAGAAAAUGAGCUUCUUGAUUAUUUCUUGAUUCUUCAUCCCAAAGACACCUUUGGGAUAUAACUACUUGAGCUGUGCUAUUUUAUUUAGUAGUUUAAAGACCAGCCUUUGUUUCUGGGAGAUGAUAAAUGAAAUCAAACCAAACCAACAAAUCAGACUUAACUAUAUUUACAUUGUUAGAGUUUUAGGCAUUUCCUG